RNAcentral lists this ribosomal RNA (263 nucleotides) under uncultured bacterium. RNAcentral's name for it is "partial 16S ribosomal RNA". It matches the Rfam family "Bacterial small subunit ribosomal RNA", at positions 793 to 1055 of the family's 1533-position model. The record is from RNAcentral.
GUCCACGCCGUAAACGAUGGGUACUAGGUGUGGCGGGUGUCGACUCCCGCUGUGCCGAAGCUAACGCAUUAAGUACCCCGCCUGGGGAGUACGGCCGCAAGGCUAAAACUCAAAGGAAUUGACGGGGACCCGCACAAGCAGCUGAGCAUGUGGUUUAAUUCGACGCAACGCGAAGAACCUUACCAAGGCUUGACAUGCACUUGAAAACCGUGGAAACACGGUCCCCCUUCGGUGCAAGUGCACAGGUGGUGCAUGGCUGUCGU